Molecule: ribosomal RNA, 141 nt
Filed under: uncultured eukaryote
Lineage: Eukaryota
Description: partial 18S ribosomal RNA
Rfam family: Eukaryotic small subunit ribosomal RNA
Source: RNAcentral
UGGUGGAGUGAUUUGUCUGGUUAAUUCCGUUAACGAACGAGACCGCUGCCUGCUAAAUAGUCCAGUGAGUGAAUUUCACUGACCAGGACUUCUUAGAGGGACGUGCAUUCUAUUAGACGCAGGAAGAUAGCGGCGAUAACA